This 88-nucleotide transfer RNA is filed under the name Aongstroemia canadensis. RNAcentral describes it as "tRNA-Leu". It matches the Rfam family "tRNA". From Rfam's summary of the family: Transfer RNA (tRNA) molecules are approximately 80 nucleotides in length. Their secondary structure includes four short double-helical elements and three loops (D, anti-codon, and T loops). The record is from RNAcentral. Lineage: Eukaryota; Viridiplantae; Streptophyta; Bryopsida; Dicranales; Aongstroemiaceae.
GGGGUAUGGCGGAAUUGGUAGACGCUACGGACUUAAAAUCCGUUGGCUUUAUUGACCGUGAGGGUUCAAGUCCCUCUACCCCCAAACU